GGUAAAGGGGUAAGUACCUUGCUUACUUUUUCGGUUCUUCUUCCACAGAAGGUGAAUAAAGCACACAGGUAGAAGAAACCCUGCCAGUGAAGAAAUGAUGAUGACUAUCAGCUUCUUUUUGCCAUAAUGGUCCCUUCUAUGACCUGCACAACAAAUUUUUGGUAUUAGGACUUCCACUUAGGGUACAUUUCUUAUGAUAUGGAAUUUAAGUUAUAUAUUUUGUUCUGCAUUAACCUAUCAUAUAAAUGUGUUUGGUAACAUGUAUGUUCGAACUGGUAUACUAGGUAUAUUUCCACUUUGUCAUCAGAACAUGUUCCUACAUUCAGCGUACUGAGAGUCACAAACUUAACAGAACUAUAUCACCUAGUCACAUUCACCUUAAACCAUAUAAAGUAAGUAUUAUGGUUAUUUUGACAAAACCAACAAGAUAUGUUCGGAGGUCUAUGAUAAUCCUUUUAGUUAUCUACCUCCCUUUCAACCCAACAGUCAUAUCCAGCUGCCAGAAAGUUCCAAAUGUAGUCAAUAUAUGUACUGCUAUAUUCCUAACCUAACUCGCACCUUUUCCUUGCCCUCUCAGGAAAUAAUCGUUACCUAAUUCAGAAGAUGCAAGCCGAAUGUAUAGAUUCUCCCCUCCUUCGGUGAACACUCUGAUAUCUACCAGAUCUCCGGUCCAUGU
Molecule: long non-coding RNA, 676 nt
Filed under: Elaeis guineensis (African oil palm)
Lineage: Eukaryota; Viridiplantae; Streptophyta; Magnoliopsida; Arecales; Arecaceae
Description: long non-coding RNA (EGUI_LNC001139)
Source: RNAcentral